Molecule: ribosomal RNA, 643 nt
Filed under: uncultured bacterium
Lineage: Bacteria
Description: bacterial SSU rRNA
Rfam family: Bacterial small subunit ribosomal RNA
Source: RNAcentral
CGCGGCCUAUCAGCUUGUUGGUGGGGUGAUGGCCUACCAAGGCGACGACGGGUAGCCGGCCUGAGAGGGUGAUCGGCCACAUUGGGACUGAGAUACGGCCCAGACUCCUACGGGAGGCAGCAGUGGGGAAUAUUGCACAAUGGGCGGAAGCCUGAUGCAGCGACGCCGCGUGAGGGAUGACGGCCUUCGGGUUGUAAACCUCUUUCAGCAGGGACGAAGCGUAAGUGACGGUACCUGCAGAAGAAGCACCGGCUAACUACGUGCCAGCAGCCGCGGUAAUACGUAGGGUGCGAGCGUUGUCCGGAAUUACUGGGCGUAAAGAGCUCGUAGGCGGUUUGUCACGUCGUCUGUGAAAUCCUAGGGCUUAACCCUGGACGUGCAGGCGAUACGGGCUGACUUGAGUACUACAGGGGAGACUGGAAUUUCUGGUGUAGCGGUGGAAUGCACAGAUAUCAGGAAGAACACCGAUGGCGAAGGCAGGUCUCUGGGUAGUAACUGACGCUGAGGAGCGAAAGCAUGGGUAGCGAACAGGAUUAGAUACCCUGGUAGUCCAUGCCGUAAACGGUGGGCGCUAGGUGUGGGGUUCCUUCCACGGGCUCCGCGCCGUAGCUAACGCAUUAAGCGCCCCGCCUGGGGAGUACGG